Molecule: long non-coding RNA, 1776 nt
Filed under: Lytechinus variegatus (green sea urchin)
Lineage: Eukaryota; Metazoa; Echinodermata; Echinoidea; Temnopleuroida; Toxopneustidae
Description: uncharacterized LOC121432250
Source: RNAcentral
CUUGAUAGGUACAAUCAUGAACGCUAGAGGGCGCUGCGCGCGAACGGCGCUUUUUUUUAAUGGACCGUAUUGCCGCCGAUAAGCUGCUAUCGUCGAGACUGCCGAGUGUAUUGACAAAUGUAAGGGGUGGAUGAAUCUACCCUUAUUUUUAAAGUGAUUUGUCCAAUAGGUAUGAUGUGUAUGAAAAUUUCAUCAUGGAUACUUACGUCAUCGUCUACGAACAAUGGGAGAGCCUCAGCGAAGAGUUUUGACUGUCAAAUUCGUCUGGAAUAUCACUGAUAAAGCUUGAGCACCGAUCCUACCAAUGGCAUCAUACCAAACUAUUAGAACAGCUGAUGAUGUUUCGUGUACAGUUUCCCUGCUACUUGGUAGUACUUGCUUUUACCAUCCUUGUCAAUAUCCAUCCUGGUGCUGGCCUAUGACCUGGUCUACAUUACACUCUACACAGUGCAAGCUCAAGUGCAGUCUAAUUGCUGCAAAGUUGUUUUAAAAUUCCAAGAAAGAAAUAAAGUUGAUUUACUCUCAAGAUAAUUGGUGAUGGAGAUGAAAGAGGAAGAUAAUGAGAUCAUGUUUGAUGCACUUGAUGCAUAUUUUUAUGAUGCCUGUAUGUGUGAGGGUGGAGUGAAAUGGGAUGAGAGGUCAGACAUUUUUUUUUUUACUCCUUGUCAUUGCCUUUAUUAAAAAGAAAAUACAGUUUUUUUUACGUGACAUUCUCAUGGGAAUUUUACAACUUGUUUUAUUAUCAUUAUUGAUAUUUUUUUUUAAAGAAUAUUGACCAAGAGGAGGACUGAAAAGGCUAAUUUACAAUCUCAUUACAAAGUAAAAUAGUGUUGGAUAACAGAAGGAAAAAUGGUGGAAUAAGAGAGAUUGCAGAAGAGCUGAAAUGUACCCAAUGUAGAAUGAGAAAGUAGAGAUUGAGGGGGGGGGGGUAUUAAAAAAACCAAAACAGUAUAAAUCCCAAAGUAAAUAUUCUAUACAAUUCAUGCAUUGGUAUAUUUCAUACAAAGGUAGAGAAAGGAAAAUAGGAGAAUUUUGCAAGUCAAUUUGAUAUAGAUCGAUGCAUGGAGGUUCCCCCCCCCCCAAUUUUAAGUUUCUCAACAAAAGGGUAUUAUAGUUGAUUUGUGGUAUCUUUCUAUUUUGUACUUAAAUAAUACUUCUUUGGCCAGACAUAUCCUUCAACUGUCUCCUACAUCUUUGAUGGUAGUCCAUUAAAUGUCUGUUUCUGACAGAAUUGAGUAACUUCAAUCCAAACCCUUGACGAAAGAACUUAAAAGAAGGCAUGCUUCAAUGUUGAAAUCAUGAUUCUUUGCCCAUUUUUUGUAUGAAUUAAAUACACUUUCAUAAAUCCCUUUAAAUGUUUGAAGAUACUAAAACUUGGGCAAAGAUUCAUUCGAAGUUGGGGGACGGGAGAGUGAAAUUUGAUGUGUAUACAGCUUGGUGGCCAGUGUUGCAACUACAGUACCUGUAAAGAGACAAAAUAAAAUCAAGUAACAAUUAGGAAAUUAAAAAAUGCUCAAGUCUGUUAGCUUUGAGUAAAUUCAGCCAAUAAAAUAAUUAAUGGAAAAUAGGUAAGAUUAUCAUGGUAAUAUUCCCCAGGAACAAUAAUGAUUAAGAUUUUAAAAAGUAGUUUUGGCCAUUGGCAGUGGAAGGGAUUUUUUUUUUUUGGGGGGGGUCCACCUGAAUUUUUGAGAUGGAGACAGGUAGCAAAUUUGACUGCAAAAAAAAUAGUAAUCAACCCAAAAUGUAUGAUGAACCACCAAAAUUUUUUGACAUGCC